Eucalyptus grandis is the source of this 548-nucleotide long non-coding RNA. RefSeq lists it as uncharacterized. The transcript is spliced from 4 exons. The record is from RefSeq and is a predicted model, not a curated record. NCBI's taxonomy places the organism in Eukaryota, Viridiplantae, Streptophyta, Magnoliopsida, Myrtales, Myrtaceae.
ACCUAAGUGUGAGACACCGGGAUUCGAACACGACAUCUAUCACAUCCGAUUCCAGCAUUUGAUCACUUGGUCGAUAGUUGGAGUUAAAUUUUUGAGGUGCUGCUGUGCAACUGCUUGGAGAAUCCUCUUCCCAUGAGAAGGGAUUUGUAGAGGCGGAAGGUGCUGCAUCUUUUAUUUCCAAGCUUGGAUGACUUUGGUAUGAGUCCGUAGCAGCUUCUGCGAAGAUGCAUUUUUAAUGGAAACGGGACACUCUAGGAAGAUUUGGUUCUAGCAGCACAAGAAGGUGUCUUUGUCAAUGUUGACAGCGAAUUUGACUUGGAGAACAUAGUUGCAGCUGCAAGAAUAGCUGGCAAGAAGGUUAAUGUCCUACUUCGUAUUAUCCAGACGUGGAUCCUCAGGUCCAUCCAUAUGUUGCCACGGGAAACAAGAACUCUAAGUUUGGAAUUAGGAAUGAGAAGCUGCAGUGGUUUCUUGAUGCUGUAAAAUCACAUCCAAACGAGCUGAAGCUUGUGGGUGCCCACUGCCAUCUUGGUUCCACAAUUACCAAG